Molecule: transfer RNA, 72 nt
Filed under: bacterium
Lineage: Bacteria
Description: tRNA-Arg
Rfam family: tRNA
About the family: Transfer RNA (tRNA) molecules are approximately 80 nucleotides in length. Their secondary structure includes four short double-helical elements and three loops (D, anti-codon, and T loops).
Source: RNAcentral
GUCCCUGUAGUUUAAUGGAUAAAACGAUUCCCUUCUAAGGAAUAAAUCGGGGUUCGAUUCCCUGCAGGGACA